Molecule: ribosomal RNA, 506 nt
Filed under: uncultured bacterium
Lineage: Bacteria
Description: partial 16S ribosomal RNA
Rfam family: Bacterial small subunit ribosomal RNA
Source: RNAcentral
AGUGAACGCUGGCGGUAGGCCUAACACAUGCAAGUCGAACGGCAGCACAGAGGAGCUUGCUCCUUGGGUGGCGAGUGGCGGACGGGUGAGGAAUACAUCGGAAUCUACUCUGUCGUGGGGGAUAACGUAGGGAAACUUACGCUAAUACCGCAUACGACCUACGGGCGAAAGCAGGGGACCUUCGGUCCUUGCGCGAUUGAAUGAGCCGAUGUCGGAUUAGCUAGUUGGCGGGGUAAAGGCCCACCAAGGCGACGAUCCGCAGCUGGUCUGAGAGGAUGAUCAGCCACACUGGAACUGAGACACGGUCCAGACUCCUACGGGAGGCAGCAGUGGGGAAUAUUGGACAAUGGGCGCAAGCCUGAUCCAGCCAUACCGCGUGGGUGAAGAAGGCCUUCGGGUUGUAAAGCCCUUUUGUUGGGAAAGAAAUCCAGCUGGCUAAUACCCGGUUGGGAUGACGGUACCCAAAGAAUAAGCACCGGCUAACUUCGUGCCAGCCGCCGCGGUAA